GCAACGAGCGCAACCCUGCAUUCAGUUGCCAUCGGUGAGGCCGGGCACUCUGGAUGGACUGCCGGCGGACAAGCCGGAGGAAGGUGGGGACGACGUCAAGUCAUCAUGGCCCUUAUGUCCAGGGCGACACACGUGCUACAAUGGCCGGCACAGCGGGAAGCAAGGGGCGACUCUGAGCGGAUCCCUUAAAGCCGGUCCCAGUUCGGAUUGCAGUCUGCAACUCGACUGCAUGAAGUUGGAAUCGCUAGUAAUCGUGGAUCAGCCAAGCCGCGGUGAAUACGUUCCCGGGCCUU
Molecule: ribosomal RNA, 293 nt
Filed under: uncultured Thermovirga sp.
Lineage: Bacteria; Thermotogati; Synergistota; Synergistia; Synergistales; Thermovirgaceae
Description: partial 16S ribosomal RNA
Rfam family: Bacterial small subunit ribosomal RNA
Source: RNAcentral